GUCUGUCCAUACCACCCUGAACACGCCCGAUCUCAUCUGAUCUUGUGAAGCUAAGCAGGGUCGGGUCUAGUUAGUACUUGGAUGGGAGACCACUUGGGAAUACCAGGUGCUACAGACU
Ribosomal RNA from Cercocebus atys (sooty mangabey), 118 nucleotides. Lineage: Eukaryota; Metazoa; Chordata; Mammalia; Primates; Cercopithecidae. The record is from Ensembl.